GAUGAAGAACGUAGCAAAAUGCGAUAAGUAAUGUGAAUUGCAGAAUUCAGUGAAUCAUCGAAUCUUUGAACGCACAUUGCGCCCGCCAGUAUUCUGGCGGGCAUGCCUGUUCGAGCGUCAUUUCAACCCUCAAGCACAGCUUGGUGUUGGGACUCGCGUUAAUUCGCGUUCCCCAAAUUUAUUGGCGGUCACGUCGAGCUUCCAUAGCGUAGUAGUAAAACCCUCGUUACUGGUAAUCGUCGCGGCCACGCCGUUAAACCCCAACUUCUGAAUGUUGACCUCGGAUCAGGUAGGAAUACCCGCUGAACUUAAGCAUAUCAAUAAGCGGAGGA
Molecule: unclassified non-coding RNA, 332 nt
Filed under: soil metagenome
Description: partial contains 5.8S ribosomal RNA, internal transcribed spacer 2, and large subunit ribosomal RNA
Rfam family: 5.8S ribosomal RNA (bases 1-120)
Source: RNAcentral